Long non-coding RNA from Melitaea cinxia (Glanville fritillary), 526 nucleotides. RefSeq lists it as uncharacterized. NCBI's taxonomy places the organism in Eukaryota, Metazoa, Arthropoda, Insecta, Lepidoptera, Nymphalidae. The record is from RefSeq and is a predicted model, not a curated record. The transcript has 2 exons.
CAGUUGCACUAACCACUGCGCCCAUUCAUCAUCGAAGCUCACGAGAUACCUAAUAUAGAUAUAGAAUGCGGAGACACCGAACCGCAGGGACAAAUGUCAAGGAUGUCUCCCGCGACACCGUUGCAGCUGGGAGCGCGCCAACUCUCAAACUUGGCUCAACUUCUUGAGCACAUUCGAAUACUCGUGCGAUAUGUAUUGAUAUCACUUGGAAAAUUAAACUCUCAAAGAAUUGAAACUUUCGAAAAUGGAUUAAUAGCUUUGUGUUGUGCCAAAAUAGCACGGAUGAUUUCGCCCACGUUACGUAGAACAGAGUAUACACGAAGAAAAAUUAAACGGUGCGCUCGAGAUAACAAUCUCAAGAGAAUUUUGACGACUGUAGUAAUAGACAGCAGGGUCAUCAUAGAUAGAAUGAAAGACAAUUGCAAAUGAUAAGGGAUUCAGAACAUUUUUCGAAGCUACUAUUACUUACGAAGUACCAGGGACUAUAAAAAAAAUAAUGGUAUAUAAAAACUCAUUUAUACACAAA